AACGAACGCUGGCGGCAUGCCUAACACAUGCAAGUCGAACGAGACCGCCGGGUUUAGUGGCGCACGGGUGCGUAACGAGUGGGAACCUGCCCUUAGGGUCGGAAUAACUCUCCGAAAGGGGUGCUAAUACCGGAGAAUGUCUUCGGACCAGAGAUCUAUCGCCUUUGGAUGGGCCCGCGUUGGAUUAGCUAGUUGGUAGGGUAAAAGCCUACCAAGGCGACGAUCCAUAGCUGGUCUGGGAGGAUGAUCAGCCACACUGGGACUGAGACACGGCCCAGACUCCUACGGGAGGCAGCAGUGGGGGAUAUUGGACGAGGGGCGGAGGCCUGAACCAGCGAUGCCGCGUGAGUGAUGAAGGCCUUAGGGUUGUAAAGCUCUUUUACCCGGGAUGAUAAUGACGGUACCGGGAGAAUAAGCGCCGGCUAACUCCGUG
Molecule: ribosomal RNA, 433 nt
Filed under: uncultured bacterium
Lineage: Bacteria
Description: partial 16S ribosomal RNA
Rfam family: Bacterial small subunit ribosomal RNA
Source: RNAcentral